CUCCUUUGACAUCACAUGAAGUAUUGGAGAUAUGACUAAUUCAUGUUGGUGUGAUGAAGACAAAGAAGAAAAGAAUCCAUUUAUGACUCGAGCUAUCUUGGCACCCUGAAAAGAGUUGACUGGUGUUCGCCUCUACGUUUACAAGGAGAUACCUAAGGAAAGCUCUGUCGUUGUAAGCAUUUACUUCAGAAUGAAGUGGACGCACCUUUCCGAAUUAAGGAGGAGGAGGAGACCGGCUGAUAACAUGUGGGCAUGUGACACUUUCAUAUAUGAACUCAGUGAAGAGCGAAGCUCCCGUGUUAAUCACAGGAUGCGAAGAAGAAUCACCAUGCGGAGACCAAUCCCUGGUUCUAAAUCCUAUGGCAACUGAAGUGUUUCUAAAGGUUCCACUUUCCUGACUUUACCCACUGUCAUCAACAUUAUGACAUCAUUACCAUCCUCGCUCACUGCACAGCUCUCGCUCUCAGAUUCCAGCACUCCACUCAGUCAUCGGGGUGAAAUAUGAUGAAGACACUAAGCCCAGAGAGGUGAAAUAAUGUACCCGCGGCCAACGACCAGCCCACGGUGUGGGUGCAGUGCCUGGAGCCCAGGUCUGUACACC
Molecule: long non-coding RNA, 601 nt
Organism: Hipposideros armiger (great roundleaf bat)
Lineage: Eukaryota; Metazoa; Chordata; Mammalia; Chiroptera; Hipposideridae
Exons: 4
Source: RefSeq, a predicted model, not a curated record